AAAAAACAGUUUUUUUAACUUAAGAUCAUGAUAUAUCACUAAUUUUAUUGAAUGAUUAUAAUAUAGUUUGUAAAUUACAUGUCGAGAAGAACGACUAGAUUACCCGUAAAACGGACAGUUAAGAAAAACGGUUGAUAAGAUUCAAAUUUUCAAUUUAAUGAAAGCUUUAAUAAAAUUUGAUAAUUUUAAUUUUAUCUAAUAAAGUUAUCACCGCUAUUUUUGAAAUUUCCUAUGAUUU
RNAcentral lists this unclassified non-coding RNA (238 nucleotides) under Hevea brasiliensis (rubber tree). The record is from RNAcentral. Lineage: Eukaryota; Viridiplantae; Streptophyta; Magnoliopsida; Malpighiales; Euphorbiaceae.